AGCGAACGCUGGCGGCAGGCCUAACACAUGCAAGUCGAACGAACCUUUCGGGGUUAGUGGCGGACGGGUGAGUAACACGUGGGAACGUGCCUUUAGGUUCGGAAUAACUCAGGGAAACUUGUGCUAAUACCGAAUGUGCCCUUCGGGGGAAAGAUUUAUCGCCUUUAGAGCGGCCCGCGUCUGAUUAGCUAGUUGGUUGAGGUAAUGGCUCACCAAGGCGACGAUCAGUAGCUGGUCUGAGAGGAUGAUCAGCCACAUUGGGACUGAGACACGGCCCAAACUCCUACGGGAGGCAGCAGUAGGGAAUCUUCCGCAAUGGGCGAAAGCCUGACGGAGCAACGCCGCGUGAGUGAUGAAGGUCUUCGGAUCGUAAAACUCUGUUAUUAGGGAAGAACAAAUGUGUAAGUAACUAUGCACGUCUUGACGGUACCUAAUCAGAAAGCCACGGCUAACUACGUG
This 459-nucleotide ribosomal RNA is filed under the name uncultured bacterium. RNAcentral's name for it is "partial 16S ribosomal RNA". It matches the Rfam family "Bacterial small subunit ribosomal RNA", at positions 29 to 507 of the family's 1533-position model. The record is from RNAcentral.